Molecule: ribosomal RNA, 253 nt
Filed under: uncultured bacterium
Lineage: Bacteria
Description: partial 16S ribosomal RNA
Rfam family: Bacterial small subunit ribosomal RNA
Source: RNAcentral
CACGGGGGGAGCAAGCGUUGUUCGGAAUCACUGGGCGUAAAGGGCGUGUAGGCGGUUGGGUAAGUGGGAUGUGAAAUGCCUCGGCUCACCCGAGGAUCGGCAUCCCAAACUGCCUGACUUGAGUAUGGGAGAGGAUGAGGGAAUUCCUGGUGUAGCGGUGAAAUGCGUAGAUAUCAGGAGGAACACCGGUGGCGAAGGCGCUCAUCUGGCCCAAUACUGACGCUGAGGCGCGAAAGCUAGGGGAGCAAACGGG